Molecule: ribosomal RNA, 585 nt
Filed under: uncultured bacterium
Lineage: Bacteria
Description: bacterial SSU rRNA
Rfam family: Bacterial small subunit ribosomal RNA
Source: RNAcentral
GAGCGAGAACCCGCAAGGGGGACAGCGGCGAACGGGGUAGGACAACGUAGGUAACGUACCCUCGGGGCGAGGACAGCCACGGGAAACUGUGGGUAAUACUCGAUAAAGUUCCCAAUCGUGAUGGAAGGGGAACCAAUGGGUGAGAUUCCACCUGAGGAGCGGCUUACGCAGUAUCAGCUUGUUGGUGAGGUAACGGCUCACCAAGGCUAAGACGCUUAGGGGAUGUGAGAGCAUGAUCCCCACCACUGGCACUGAGACACUGGCCAGACACCUACGGGUGGCUGCAGUCGAGAAUCUUCGGCAAUGGACGCAAGUCUGACUGAGCGACGCCGCGUGCGGGAUGAAGGUCUUCGGAUUGUAAACCGCUGUCAGAGGGGAUGAAGUGUACGGGGGUUCUCCCCUGUAUUUGACAGAGCCUCAGAGGAAGCACGGGCUAAGUUCGUGCCAGCAGCCGCGGUAAUACGAACUGUGCGAACGUUAUUCGGAAUCACUGGGCUUAAAGGGUGCGUAGGCGGUUUCUUAAGUCAGGUGUGAAAUCUUUCGGCUCAACCGGAAAACUGCGCUUGAUACUGAGAGACUUGAGUG